RNAcentral lists this ribosomal RNA (601 nucleotides) under Penicillium sp. 95. RNAcentral describes it as "eukaryotic LSU rRNA". The stretch from base 216 to 369 matches the Rfam family "5.8S ribosomal RNA". RNAcentral also lists the same sequence under 1 other name. The record is from RNAcentral. Lineage: Eukaryota; Fungi; Ascomycota; Eurotiomycetes; Eurotiales; Aspergillaceae.
GGGAUCGCCCUUUCCGUAGGUGAACCUGCGGAAGGAUCAUUACUGAGUGAGGGCCCUCUGGGUCCAACCUCCCACCCGUGUUUAUUGUACCUUGUUGCUUCGGUGCGCCCGCCUCACGGCCGCCGGGGGGCUUCUGCCCCCGGGUCCGCGCGCACCGGAGACACCAUUGAACUCUGUCUGAAGAUUGCAGUCUGAGCAUAAACUAAAUAAGUUAAAACUUUCAACAACGGAUCUCUUGGUUCCGGCAUCGAUGAAGAACGCAGCGAAAUGCGAUAACUAAUGUGAAUUGCAGAAUUCAGUGAAUCAUCGAGUCUUUGAACGCACAUUGCGCCCCCUGGUAUUCCGGGGGGCAUGCCUGUCCGAGCGUCAUUGCUGCCCUCAAGCACGGCUUGUGUGUUGGGCUCCGUCCCCCCGGGGACGGGUCCGAAAGGCAGCGGCGGCACCGAGUCCGGUCCUCGAGCGUAUGGGGCUUUGUCACCCGCUCUGUAGGCCCGGCCGGCGCCAGCCGACAACCAAUCAUCCUUUUUUCAGGUUGACCUCGGAUCAGGUAGGGAUACCCGCUGAACUUAAGCAUAUCAAUAAGCGGAGGAAAGGGCGAUCC